RNAcentral lists this long non-coding RNA (703 nucleotides) under Dasypus novemcinctus (nine-banded armadillo). Its description in RNAcentral is "lncRNA (ENSDNOG00000052253.1)". Lineage: Eukaryota; Metazoa; Chordata; Mammalia; Cingulata; Dasypodidae. The record is from RNAcentral.
AUGCCCGUGUCCUGGGCACUGAUGAAAGGCAGCCUGCUGCUGUCGGCUGUUCACGGAGGGGAAGCGCACCCUCCUGAGCUGGUCCAGCUUCUCUGCAGCCCCGUCUGCUCAGGGUCUUCCGCUUUCUUUCUAGCUCCCCCUUCUUUUCCUCCACCUGUUCUUCCAGGCAGCACAGCUGCCUCUCUUUCGCAGAGGUGGAACAAGUCCCGGAUUUGCAGGCCCCGGGAGCUGACGGGAUGGCCCGGGCGGACCUGGGGCUUGUGGGUAGGGAUGACGUCACACUCUGCCUUUCGGUUUCCAGUUUCCACGGCUGGCUGCAGGGUGACAUCUGGGAGAGCAGGGGGUGACCUUUGGCAGAUGACUCUAGGGGAGGAUUUCCCUUCCAGAGUGAGGACAAAGUACACGUUUGCAUCACUACCCUCUCUGAAACCCACCAGAAUGAACAAAGUCCAAGAGAAUGACCACAUCUCAAAUCACAGCUUCAAAAAAAUAUUCAUUCAUUCGGCCAGUCAUACUUCAUCCAUUCAACAAAUAUUUACUGAGUACCUCUGAGAUGCCAGCACUGUUCCAGCUGCCAGGAGCUCUAGCUGCCAGAUAUAAAGAAAUCUAAGUCCAAGGGAAGGUAAGCACCAAGGUCUGACAUCUUUUUCCUCUAAUUCAGAGCAGGUAGAGACUCUGAAAAGUAAGAGUGUUCAUACAUGCU